This 1355-nucleotide ribosomal RNA is filed under the name uncultured marine eukaryote. RNAcentral describes it as "bacterial SSU rRNA". It matches the Rfam family "Bacterial small subunit ribosomal RNA". The record is from RNAcentral.
GAGUUUGAUCCUGGCUCAGGACGAACGCUGGCGGUCUGUUUGAACACAUGCAAGUUGAACGGGGCCUUUUAGGCUUAGUAGCGAACGGGUGAGGAUAAAACAAAAAUCUACCCUGAAGACGAGGAUACCCGUGGGAAACUGCGGUUAAUAGUCGAUAUGCUUUACAGUGAAAGGUUCUAAUUAAUGAGCCGCUUCAGGAUGAGUUUGUUUCUGAUUAGCUUGUUGGUACGGUAAUGGCGUCCCAAGGCUUCGAUCAGUCGUUGGUCUGCGAGGAUGAUCAACCACAUUUGAACUGAGACACGGUCAAAACUCCUACGGGAGGCAGCAGUGGAGAAUCUUCUGCAAUGAGCGAAAGCUUGACAGAGCAAGACCGCGUGGGGGACGAAGGUUCGAGGAUUGUAAACCCCUUUUCUUGGAGAAGAAGAAAUGACGGUAUUCAAGGAAUAAGUGGUGUCUAAACUCUGUGCCAGCAGACGCGGUAAUACAGGGGCCACGAGUGUUGUCCGAUGUUAUUGGGCUUAAAGCGUCUGUAGGUGGUAUGACACGUCAAAGAUUAAAAGCCACUGCUCAACGGUGGUUCGGUCUUUGAUACGGUCAUACUUGAGUUCGGGAAACGUCGAGGGAACUCCCGGUGGAGUGGUGAAGUGCGUAGAGAUCGGGAAGAACACCAAAAGCGAAGGCACUCGACGAGCCCAGAACUGACACUCAGAGACGAAAGCUGUGGGAGCAACAAGGAUUAGAUACCCUUCUAGUCACAGCUGUAAACUAUGAAAACUAGGCGUUGGGGACCUUGCGGAACUCAGUGUCGUCGCGAAAGCAUUAAGUUUUCCGCCUGGGAAGUACGGUCGCAGGACUGAAACUCAAAGGAAUUGGCGGGAGCUCGCACAAGCAGUGGAUCAUGUGGUUUAAUUCGAUGCUAAGCGAAAAACCUUACCAAAACUUGUAUCCCGGAAAGUUUUUUGAAAAAAAAAUGUGCUUUUAAGAAUCCGGUGACAGGUGGUGCAUGGCUGUCGUCAGCUCGUGUCGUGAGAUGUUGGGUUAAGUCCCGCAACGAGCGCAACCCACGUCUUUAGUUGCCAGCAUUUAGUUGGGCACUCUAGAGAGACCGCCGGUGAUAAACCGGAGGAAGGUGUGGAUGACGUCAAGUCAUCAUGCCCCUUACAUCCUGGGCUACACACGUACUACAAUGCUACGGACAAGGGGCAGCAAGUUCGCGAGGACAGGCAAAUCCCAUAAACCGUGGCUCAGUUCAGAUCGUAGGCUGCAACUCGCCUACGUGAAGGAGGAAUCGCUAGUAAUCGCAGGUCAGCAUACUGCGGUGAAUACGUUCCCGGGCCUUGUACUCACCGCCCGUC